Molecule: ribosomal RNA, 216 nt
Filed under: uncultured bacterium
Lineage: Bacteria
Description: partial 16S ribosomal RNA
Rfam family: Bacterial small subunit ribosomal RNA
Source: RNAcentral
UACGUAGGGCGCAAGCGUUAUCCGGAAUUAUUGGGCGUAAAGAGCUCGUAGGCGGUUUGUCGCGUCUGCCGUGAAAGUCCGGGGCUUAACCCCGGAUCUGCGGUGGGUACGGGCAGACUAGAGUGCAGUAGGGGAGACUGGAAUUCCUGGUGUAGCGGUGAAAUGCGCAGAUAUCAGGAGGAACACCGAUGGCGAAGGCAGGUCUCUGGGCUGUAA